AGAAAUCAGGCUCCUAAGUCUUGAAUAUGCCAGAGCAAAGGCCCGAGAGGCCAUGGAACCAAAGAUCUGAGAAGAUCUGAAAGAGAAAUGUCGAGGUUAGGUCUCGAAGCUUUGAACAACCAUGGUUUACUGGUGGAGGGGAGUGAGUACCAACCAUCCAUGGCCUAAGAAGCCAUGGAUUUCUGUGAAGGCGGUUGAAAAGGGGUAGGAGGAAGCUAGGGUUCUGAAGAUUUUGUAGAGAGUUUGUGAUUAAAAGGCGGCUGAGAGGUGGAAAUGGGGGAUAAG
Molecule: long non-coding RNA, 285 nt
Filed under: Nicotiana benthamiana
Lineage: Eukaryota; Viridiplantae; Streptophyta; Magnoliopsida; Solanales; Solanaceae
Description: long non-coding RNA (NBEN_LNC041157)
Source: RNAcentral